GGGGCCUUAGCUCAGCUGGGAGAGCGCCUGCUUUGCACGCAGGAGGUCAGCGGUUCGAUCGCGCUAGGCUCCA
This 73-nucleotide transfer RNA is filed under the name Listeria monocytogenes. RNAcentral's name for it is "tRNA-Ala". It matches the Rfam family "tRNA". From Rfam's summary of the family: Transfer RNA (tRNA) molecules are approximately 80 nucleotides in length. Lineage: Bacteria; Bacillati; Bacillota; Bacilli; Caryophanales; Listeriaceae. The record is from RNAcentral.